This 1123-nucleotide ribosomal RNA is filed under the name uncultured organism. RNAcentral's name for it is "bacterial SSU rRNA". It matches the Rfam family "Bacterial small subunit ribosomal RNA", at positions 369 to 1484 of the family's 1533-position model. The record is from RNAcentral.
CAAUGGACGAAAGUCUGACCGAGCGACGCCGUGUGCGGGAUAAAGGCCCUCGGGUUGUAAACCGUUGUCAGUUGGGAGGAAAGGUCUGUGCAGAGCAGACCCUGACCGAUCUUCAGAGGAAGGACGGGCUAAGUUCGUGCCAGCAGCCGCGGUAAGACGGACCGUCCAAACGUUAUUCGGUAUCACUGGGCUUAAAGCGUGCGUAGGCGGCCAGGUAGGUGAGAUGUGAAAGCCCACGGCUCAACCGUGGAAUUGCGUUUCAAACCCUCUGGCUUGAGGGAGACAGGGGUGUUGGGAACUUAUGGUGGAGCGGUGAAAUGCGUUGAUAUCAUAGGGAACACCGGUGGCGAAGGCGCAACACUGGGUCUUUUCUGACGCUGAGGCACGAAAGCUAGGGUAGCGAACGGGAUUAGAUACCCCGGUAGUCCUAGCCGUAAACGAUGAGCACUGGGUUGAGGGGACUUCCACAUCUUCUCGGCCGUAGCGAAAGCGUUAAGUGCUCCGCCUGGGGAGUAUGGUCGCAAGGCUGAAACUCAAAGGAAUUGACGGGGGCUCACACAAGCGGUGGAGGAUGUGGCUUAAUUCGAGGAUACGCGAAGAACCUUAUCCUAGAUUUGACAUGCUUGAGAGUCUCUAUGAAAGUAGAGAGUGCCCUUCGGGGAGCUCUUGCACAGGUGCUGCAUGACUGUCGUCAGCUCGUGUCGUGAGAUGUCGGGUUAAGUCCCUUAACGAGCGAAACCCUUAUCUCUAGUUGCUAGCGGGUCAAGCCGAGGACUCUAGAGAGACUGCCGGUGUCAAACCGGAGGAAGGUGGGGAUGACGUCAAGUCCUCAUGGCCUUUAUGUCUAGGGCUGCACACGUCCUACAAUGGUACGGACAAAGGGAAGCCAAGCCGCGAGGUGGAGCAAAUCCCAAAAACCGUGCCCCAGUUCGGAUUGCAGGCUGCAACUCGCCUGCAUGAAGCCGGAAUCGCUAGUAAUCGUGGGUCAGCAUACCACGGUGAAUGUGUUCCUGAGCCUUGUACACACCGCCCGUCAAGCCACGAAAGUUGGGAGGGCCCGAAGUCGCUGAGCGAACAGUUUACUGGCGCAGGCGCCGAAGGUCAGCUCGACAAUUGGGACUAA